GGGAUUGCCUUAGUAACGGCGAGUGAAGCGGCAAAAGCUCAAAUUUGAAAUCUGGCACCUUCGGUGUCCGAGUUGUAAUUUGAAGAAGGUAACUUUGGAGUUGGCUCUUGUCUAUGUUCCUUGGAACAGGACGUCACAGAGGGUGAGAAUCCCGUGCGAUGAGAUGCCCAAUUCUAUGUAAAGUGCUUUCGAAGAGUCGAGUUGUUUGGGAAUGCAGCUCUAAGUGGGUGGUAAAUUCCAUCUAAAGCUAAAUAUUGGCGAGAGACCGAUAGCGAACAAGUACAGUGAUGGAAAGAUGAAAAGAACUUUGAAAAGAGAGUGAAAAAGUACGUGAAAUUGUUGAAAGGGAAGGGCUUGAGAUCAGACUUGGUAUUUUGCGAUCCUUUCCUUCUUGGUUGGGUUCCUCGCAGCUUACUGGGCCAGCAUCGGUUUGGAUGGUAGGAUAAUGACUAAGGAAUGUGGCUCUACUUCGGUGGAGUGUUAUAGCCUUGGUUGAUACUGCCUGUCUAGACCGAGGACUGCGUCUUUGACUAGGAGUGGCAUAUUG
RNAcentral lists this ribosomal RNA (547 nucleotides) under Debaryomyces hansenii. Its description in RNAcentral is "eukaryotic LSU rRNA". It matches the Rfam family "Eukaryotic large subunit ribosomal RNA", at positions 71 to 622 of the family's 3401-position model. Lineage: Eukaryota; Fungi; Ascomycota; Pichiomycetes; Serinales; Debaryomycetaceae. The record is from RNAcentral.